AUCUCUGUAGAGUCUGCAUAUCAAUAAGCGGAGGAAAAGAAACUAACAAGGAUUCCCUUAGUAACGGCGAGUGAAGCGGGAAGAGCUCAAAUUUGAAAUCUUCAAGGUUCUACCUUGACGAAUUGUAGUUUAAAGAAGUGUUUUCUGUUAGAUGAGUAGCAAAAGUUCCUUGGAAUGGGACAUCAUAGAGGGUGAGAAUCCCGUAUUUGGUUAUUCAUUCUAGCUUUGUGAUACACUUUCAAAGAGUCGGAUUGUUUGGGAAUGCAGUCCAAAAUGGGUGGUAAAUUUCAUCUAAAGCUAAAUAUUGGCGAGAGACCGAUAGCGAACAAGUACCGUGAGGGAAAGAUGAAAAGAACUUUGAAAAGAGAGUUAAACAGUACGUGAAAUUGUCAAAAGGGAAGCGUUUGACACCAGUGUUGUUUUUCCGAAAAUCAAUUACGAAUGGCUUGAUUCUGUGUUGUAUUGACCUUAUCAGCUUUCUUCACUUUUUUCGAGUCUUUCUUAAUGCACUUCUCGGUUAACAAGUCAACAUCAAUUUCUUUUGUUGUAAAAGAGUAUUCGGAAGGUGGCUUUCUUUUCGGAGAAAGUGUUUAUAGCCCUAUACUUCUACAAUCGGAGAGAUUGAGGUCUGCAGCGUAGAUCCUUCGGGGUUAGAUACAUUUGUGCUAAGUUGUAGCUUUUCAUAGACAACUUGUUGACUAUGUUUAGUCAUGCGGCUUACUCGCUUAUGCUAUUUUACCUACGCUUAGGAUGUUGAAGAUGUAGCACAUCAU
RNAcentral lists this ribosomal RNA (773 nucleotides) under uncultured Neocallimastigales. Its description in RNAcentral is "partial large subunit ribosomal RNA". It matches the Rfam family "Eukaryotic large subunit ribosomal RNA", at positions 24 to 643 of the family's 3401-position model. The record is from RNAcentral. Lineage: Eukaryota; Fungi; Neocallimastigomycota; Neocallimastigomycetes; Neocallimastigales.